Jatropha curcas is the source of this 580-nucleotide non-coding RNA. NCBI's taxonomy places the organism in Eukaryota, Viridiplantae, Streptophyta, Magnoliopsida, Malpighiales, Euphorbiaceae. The record is from RefSeq and is a predicted model, not a curated record.
GGUUCUGUAGAAAUGUAAAAGAGGCUUCUAGAGAGCUCUGUGGCUAAUAAAAUAGAAAACGAAGGGUUUUAGCAGGGUUUAGGAGCUGUUGUGUGUCCAAGGAAUUCUCGUUCCUUUUCCCUUUUUGCGAGGCGCAUAAUAAAAUAUUUGCAUCUGUUUCUCUCAUCUUAAAUCAAUCCCACCAAAAAAAAAAAAAAGUGCAAUCUCACUCAAAAUUUAAAUUAAAAAAAGAAAAUCAAGAACUCGUGCAAUUCAGGUUGUCGGGUUUUUCAAUAAACCCUCUCUCUGGAAGGUACAAGAACGUUUCCCUCUCUUCGAUCAUCUUAGAAUCUUAAGGGUAAAUUUUAAGAGAGAAAAUACAAGAAGUUGAGGAUGCCUGCCAUUGCUGCUAGGGCGGCGUUGGCUGCUUCCACUACUCAGGCCUCUCGCCAAGCCCUCAAGCCAAGUACACUUCUCAUUCCAGGCAUUGCUACUGCAAUUGCUGUUCAUCGAUAUAAGGAUGUGAUUGUGGAUGGAUGCACCAAGGCUUUAGAGGCACGUAAGCGUUUGUCAGCUAGCCCAUUUGUGGCACAUUCAUCUG